RNAcentral lists this ribosomal RNA (498 nucleotides) under uncultured bacterium. Its description in RNAcentral is "bacterial SSU rRNA". It matches the Rfam family "Bacterial small subunit ribosomal RNA", at positions 66 to 543 of the family's 1533-position model. The record is from RNAcentral.
ACGCGAAAGCCCCCUUCGGGGGGCAAGUAGAGUGGCGCACGGGUGAGUGACACGUAGGUAAUCUACCUUUGGAUGGGGAAUAACAACCGGAAACGGUUGCUAAUACCGCAUAAUGCAGCGGCACCUAAUGGUGACAGUUGUUAAAGCGGGGGAUCGCAAGACCCCGCGUCUGAAGAGGAGCCUGCGGCGGAUUAGCUAGUUGGUAAGGUAACGGCUUACCAAGGCUAUGAUCCGUAGCCGGCCUGAGAGGGCGGUCGGCCACACUGACACUGACAUACGGGUCAGACUCCUACGGGAGGCAGCAGCCGGGAAUUUUGGGCAAUGGGCGAAAGCCUGACCCAGCAACGCCGCGUGAAGGAUGAAAUCCCUCGGGAUGUAAACUUCGCAAGAACAGGAAGAAUAAGUAAGAGUUAAUAUCUCUUACGAUGACGGUACUGUUUGUAAGCUCCGGCUAACUCCGUGCCAGCAGCCGCGGUAAUACGGGGGGAGCAAGCGUUG